UACGUAGGGUGCAAGCGUUAAUCGGAAUUACUGGGCGUAAAGCGUGCGCAGGCAGUCCGUUAAGACAGAUGUGAAAUCCCCGGGCUCAACCUGGGAACUGCAUUUGUGACUGCAUCGCUGGAGUGCGGCAGAGGGGGAUGGAAUUCCGCGUGUAGCAGUGAAAUGCGUAGAUAUGCGGAGGAACACCGAUGGCGAAGGCAAUCCCCUGGGCCUGCACUGACGCUCAUGCACGAAAGCGUGGGGAGCAAACAGG
Molecule: ribosomal RNA, 253 nt
Filed under: uncultured bacterium
Lineage: Bacteria
Description: partial 16S ribosomal RNA
Rfam family: Bacterial small subunit ribosomal RNA
Source: RNAcentral